GCAAAAGUCAAAUCUGUGUCACUCCCUUGGGCUCUUCGUGCCUGUCCCUAGCUGAUUUCCAGGAGGGAAGAUGAAAACUUUGCUUCUCUCUCUCCUUCUCUUUGCUAUUGCAGCAUGUGUCCGUUCCCAGGUUACACUGCUGCAGACCGGAGCAGCCCAGGUGAAGCCCUCACAGACCCUGAGACUGACCUGCUCCGUGUCUGGAUUCUCUCUCACUGAGUACGGGUAUGGAGUGAGCUGGGUUCGACAGCCCCCGGGGAAAGGCCUGGAGUGGUUAUCCACUGUGUAUUGGGAUGAUGACAAAUAUUACCAGGAGUCUCUGAAAAACCGACUGACCAUCUCGAGGGACACCUCUAAAAGCGAGGUGUAUUUGGAAAUGAGAGGCAUGGAAGCCGGAGACAGCGGCACCUAUUACUGCGCCAGGAGCUACACAGUGACACAGAGCAAAGCAGGGACUCGCGUCCUCUCCCAGGUGCAGCUGCAGGAGUCUGAGGUGGGGGCGGUGAAGCCAGGAGAGUCCCUGAAAUUUACCUCCACCAUCUCUGGAGACUCAGUUUCUAGCACCAGCGCCACCUGGAACUGGGUCCGGCGGCCUCUGGGGAAAGGGCUGGAGUUUAUGGGGCACAUGUACUAUCGGUCUAGCAGGUGGUAA
This is a non-coding RNA of Mauremys mutica (yellowpond turtle), 652 nucleotides long. NCBI's taxonomy places the organism in Eukaryota, Metazoa, Chordata, Testudines, Geoemydidae. The record is from the annotation of a RefSeq genome assembly.